This 253-nucleotide ribosomal RNA is filed under the name uncultured bacterium. Its description in RNAcentral is "partial 16S ribosomal RNA". It matches the Rfam family "Bacterial small subunit ribosomal RNA", at positions 524 to 776 of the family's 1533-position model. The record is from RNAcentral.
UACAGAGGUCUCAACCGUUGUUCGGAUUCAUUGGGCGUAAAGGGUGCGUAGGCGGCGGGGUAAGUCAGGUGUGAAAUCUCGGGGCUCAACCCCGAAACUGCACUUGAUACUGCCUCGCUUGAGUACUGGAGAGGAGACUGGAAUUUACGGUGUAGCAGUGAAAUGCGUAGAUAUCGUAAGGAAGACCAGUGGCGAAGGCGGCAUCCUGGACCGGUAUUGACGCUGAUGCGCGAAAGCCAGGGGAGCAAACGGG